GACGGACGCUGGCGGCGCGCUUAACACAUGCAAGUCGAGCGGUAAGGCCCUUUCGGGGGUACACGAGCGGCGAACGGGUGAGUAACACGUGGGUGACCUGCCCUCAGCUCUGGGAUAAGCCUGGGAAACUGGGUCUAAUACCGGAUAUGACUCCAUGAUGCAUGUUGUGGGUGAAAGCUUUUGCGGCUGGAGAUGGGCCCGCGGCCUAUCAGCUUGUUGGUGGGGUGAGGCCUACCAAGGCGACGACGGGUAGCCGGCCUGAGAGGCGACCGGCCACACUGGGACUGAGACACGGCCCAGACUCCUACGGGAGGCAGCAGU
Molecule: ribosomal RNA, 321 nt
Filed under: uncultured bacterium
Lineage: Bacteria
Description: bacterial SSU rRNA
Rfam family: Bacterial small subunit ribosomal RNA
Source: RNAcentral